This 468-nucleotide ribosomal RNA is filed under the name uncultured bacterium. RNAcentral's name for it is "partial 16S ribosomal RNA". It matches the Rfam family "Bacterial small subunit ribosomal RNA", at positions 28 to 507 of the family's 1533-position model. The record is from RNAcentral.
GACGAACGCUGGCGGCGUGCUUAACACAUGCAAGUCGAACGGAAAGGCCCUGCUUUUGCGGGGUUCUCGAGUGGCGAACGGGUGAGUAACACGCGAGUAACCUGCCCUUGUCUUUGUGAUAACUUUAGGAAACUGGGGCUAAUACCGGAUAGGAGCUCUUGCUGCGUGUUGGGGGUUGGAAAGUUUCGGCGGUAGGGGCUGGACUCGCGGGUUAUCAGCUUGUUGGUGGGGUAGGUGCUUACCAAGGCUUAGACGGGUAGCCGGCCUGAGAGGGGUAACGGCGACAAUAGGACUGCGAGAGGGAGCAGAAGGCUACGGGAGGCAGCAGGGGGAAGUAUUGCAGAGUGGGCGGAAGCGUGAGGCAGAGACGCCGCGUGCGGAAUGACGGCCUUCGGGGUAUAAACCGCUUUCGACUGUAACGAAGCGUGAGUGACGGUAAUGGGUAAAGAAGCACCGGCUAACUACGUG